UGGGGAAUUUUCGACAAUGGGGGAAACCCUGAUCGAGCCAUCCCGCGUGUGCGAUGAAGGCCUUCGGGUUGUAAAGCACUUUUGUCAGGGAAGAAAAGUCACUUACUAAUACUGGGUGAUGAUGACGGUACCUGAAGAAUAAGCACCGGCUAACUACGUGCCAGCAGCCGCGGUAAUACGUAGGGUGCAAGCGUUAAUCGGAAUUACUGGGCGUAAAGCGUGCGCAGGCGGUUUGGAAAGAAGGAUGUGAAAUCCCAGGGCUCAACCUUGGAACUGCAUUCUUAACUGCCAAACUAGAGUAUGUCAGAGGGGGGUAGAAUUCCACGUGUAGCAGUGAAAUGCGUAGAGAUGUGGAGGAAUACCGAUGGCGAAGGCAGCCCCCUGGGAUAAUACUGACGCU
Molecule: ribosomal RNA, 400 nt
Filed under: uncultured bacterium
Lineage: Bacteria
Description: bacterial SSU rRNA
Rfam family: Bacterial small subunit ribosomal RNA
Source: RNAcentral